GGUGAGGAUCAAGGCUACACAGCUGUGCACAAGGGGACAAGAGGAGGUCAGCUCCAGUCACCGGUCUAGGCAACUAUUGGGCAAGCACACACACAGAAAGUCUCACUCUGACCCAGCUGCCAAGAGUCCAGCAACUCCAAAAAUCCAAAGAUCAGUGUUAAAGUAAUCCUGCAAACUUCGCCGGCCCUUCUACAACCAGCUGGAGCAGGGUCCUCAGUCCUUAGGAAAGCGCACAGAUUGCCUUGCUCCCACCAU
Long non-coding RNA from Microtus oregoni (creeping vole), 255 nucleotides. RefSeq lists it as uncharacterized. The transcript is spliced from 3 exons. Lineage: Eukaryota; Metazoa; Chordata; Mammalia; Rodentia; Cricetidae. The record is from RefSeq and is a predicted model, not a curated record.